GUAAUAUAUAGAUAACGUGCCUCUUAGUCUGGGAUAGCCAUUGGAAACGAUGAUUAAUACCGGAUACUCCUUCUAACUCUAAUGUUAGUCGGGAAAGUUUUUCGCUAAGAGAUCGGUCUAUAUCCCAUCAGUUAGUUGGUAAGGUAACGGCUUACCAAGGCAAUGACGGGUAGCGGGUUUGAGAGGAUGAUCCGCCACUCUGGUACUGAGACACGGACCAGACUCCUACGGGAGGCAGCAGUGAGGAAUAUUGCACAAUGGGGGAAACCCUGAUGCAGCAACGCCGCGUGGAGGAUGACGCAUUUCGGUGUGUAAACUCCUUUUAUGAGUCAAGAAAAUGACGGUAGCUCAUGAAUAAGCACCGGCUAACUCCGUGCCAGCAGCCGCGGUAAUACGGAGGGUGCAAGCGUUACUCGGAAUCACUGGGCGUAAAGGACGCGUAGGCGGGAUGCCAAGUCUGAUGUGAAAUCCUAUGGCUUAACCAUAGAACUGCAUUGGAAACUGGUAACCUAGAGUAUGGGAGGGGGAGAUGGAAUUAGUGGUGUAGGGGUAAAAUCCGUAGAUAUCACUAGGAAUACCGAAAGCGAAGGCGAUCUCCUGGAACAUAACUGACGCUAAGGCGUGAAAGCGUGGGGAGCAAACGGGAUUAGAUACCCCGGUAGUCCACGCCCUAAACGAUGAACACUAGUCGUCGCUCUGCUUGUCAGGGCGGUGAUGCACUUAACAGAUUAAGUGUUCCGCCUGGGGAGUACGGUCGCAAGAUUAAAACUCAAAGGAAUAGACGGGGACCCGCACAAGUGGUGGAGCAUGUGGUUUAAUUCGAAGAUACGCGAAGAACCUUACCUAGCCUUGACAUUGAUAGAAUACCCUAGAGAUAGAGUAGUGCCUUUCGGGGAACUUGAAAACAGGUGCUGCACGGCUGUCGUCAGCUCGUGUCGUGAGAUGUUGGGUUAAGUCCCGCAACGAGCGC
This 970-nucleotide ribosomal RNA is filed under the name uncultured bacterium. RNAcentral's name for it is "bacterial SSU rRNA". It matches the Rfam family "Bacterial small subunit ribosomal RNA", at positions 110 to 1099 of the family's 1533-position model. The record is from RNAcentral.